RNAcentral lists this long non-coding RNA (275 nucleotides) under Lathyrus oleraceus (garden pea). RNAcentral's name for it is "Pisum sativum (pea) long non-coding RNA (PSAT_LNC030400)". The record is from RNAcentral. Lineage: Eukaryota; Viridiplantae; Streptophyta; Magnoliopsida; Fabales; Fabaceae.
AAAUGUUCAAGGCCUUGGUUAUGAUAAUCAAGUUGUGAUGAACAUAGGAAAAGGGUUUGCAAUGAAUUUUGUUCAACCUAAAAGAAAACAGGAACAAAAUAUAUCAAAUCAAAUGUCCCAACAUCAGCAAAGACACCAGGAUGAUUACUCAGGAUGCAAGACCCAACUAUGGAAGUUUCAUCAUUAUGGGAGGUUUGGUCACAUAAAACCUUACUGCCACAAACUAUAUGGCUAUCCCAAACCUGCUUCACAGCCCAGAAGAAAAUAGACUAUUG